Molecule: long non-coding RNA, 1411 nt
Organism: Ruditapes philippinarum (Manila clam)
Lineage: Eukaryota; Metazoa; Mollusca; Bivalvia; Venerida; Veneridae
Exons: 2
Source: RefSeq, a predicted model, not a curated record
GCUUUUGGUAUUUUUGUAUAUCAAAAGAACACCUUUUCACAUUAUUUUGUAACAGAGAUAUUAAAACGGAAUGAUUUGGUGUGUAAAACUUCUAUGUAUGAAAGAUGUUUGAUUCGAACUUUGGCUGUGGCAUGUUAUCUAUAAGGUGUUACAUGUUAUCUAUAAGGUGUUACAUGUUAUCUAUAAGGUGUUACAUGUUGGAUGUAGCAUGUUACGGCUAGGGGGUGGCAUGUAACAGACAGGGUGUGGCAUGUUACACAUAGGAUGUUACAUGUAACAGACAGGGUGUGGCAUGUAACACAAGGUGUUACAUGUAACAAGUAGGGUGUGGCAUGUUACAUAUAAGGUGUUGCAUGUAACAGGCAGGGUGUGGCAUGUUACAGGUAGAGUGUAUGCAUGUUACAUGUAAGAGCAGAGUGAGAAUGAAAACAAUAAAGAUCUCAGGGAUACAUUGGUGUUAUCCAAUGUUUGUAAGAUUGUUUUUAGUUUCAUGUGUAUGACUGUGUCUACAAAAUCACCACCCAACAAAAAUGUGCUUUAGGUGUUGAUAAAUGUUCUGGGGAAAUAUUUGCUGUACUGCAUGUUUAAUGAAACAACUUAAAGCUUUCCUUGAAAUAAAAAAAAAAGGUUCAUUUUUCAACAAAUACGUGUAUAAAAGUUACAUUGCAAUGUAUGACGUCAGAAUUGUUUGUUUUAUAGUCAUAAAUAAAUAACUUUUAUGUGUUUAAUUACAAAAACCAACACAAUUUAUCAAAACAUAUUUCACUCUAUUAAAGCUUCAUCGGUUUAAUGACAUUUAAAUUUUUUACCCAUUUAUGAACAUAACAUAGUUGUGAAAGCAGAAACAUAAUAUUAUCUGUUAUAAUAUUAUACAGCAAUCACACCCAAUUUUCUGUUACUGUGUUAAAAUUAGCGCGUAACUCGUUGAAUUUCAUUUUAUUAUUGAAAUUUUGCCAUUGCUAAUAUACUGUUGAAAAAAGAAACUGAAGGGGUAUUUUUAUAUAAGCAAACUGUAACAAACUUCUCCAUAUGGAGAUUGUUUGUUAUGAGACUCUAAUAUGAAUAAUCCAUUAAUAUUCUUCAUGGGCAUUUACUAUAUAAAAAAACUUUUGAGUAUUUAUUUUUUUAAUAUGUGAUACUUAAACAAUGUUUCUUAGUGCAUCAAUUUUUUUAAAGAGAAUAAAAUUGUCAUUUUUAUGUUUUUAAGUAGAUUUAAGUUUAUUGCUCAUAUUCUUUUAAAACAUCAUCAAUUUUAGUAGUGUUUGAAAGUUGACUGUAUUGUUUUAAAAAUUUUAAAAUGAAAUUAUAUCAUUUAUUUUUUAAGUUAGAUAUUUUUUAAUGAAACAGAGUAGCUGUAUGUGUAAUUAUAAAGAUAAUUUAUGAAUAAAUGAAAGCAUUUUUUCAUUGAGAA